CAAGACUCUUUUCGGACAUGUGAAGUUUGGGGAAGAUCGGACAUCUUAUGCCUGAGUUACAACAACUUCUAUUCCCAUGGCGAGACAUCGAACUUUGUCACGGUGCCAUGGCCACACCCUUUAAUGAAACCUCAAGAUGUUCACAAUUUAACAUCGCAAAGGCCUUUAGAUUAGACUGACCAAAAAAAAUUAUAAAAUGUCAUAAAAUUUCUAGGAGUAGUUUGUUACGGCGUAAAACAUGUCACUUCCUGUUGCCAGCAGGUGGCGCUAUAGCGAUAUCUGAAUAUUGGCAUGUAGAUAUAUUCAGGUCAGGAGUCUUCUCAAACAUGUGAAGUUUGGGGCAGAUUGGACAUUGUAUGUCUGAGUUAUAGCAAC
Cyprinus carpio carpio is the source of this 375-nucleotide long non-coding RNA. NCBI's taxonomy places the organism in Eukaryota, Metazoa, Chordata, Actinopteri, Cypriniformes, Cyprinidae. The record is from Ensembl.